AUGUGAGCUGGAACCGGAAUGGCAGUCUGAUCUGCACAGCUUCCAAAGACAAGAAAGUGAGAGUCAUUGAUCCCAGGAAACAAGAGAUUGUUGCUGAGAAGGAGAAAGCACAUGAAGGAGCAAGACCCAUGAGAGCCAUCUUCCUGGCCGAUGGCAAUGUCUUCACCACUGGGUUCAGCCGCAUGAGCGAGCGGCAGCUGGCUCUCUGGAAUCCGAAAAAUAUGCAGGAACCAAUUGCACUUCAUGAGAUGGACACUAGCAAUGGGGUGUUGCUGCCUUUCUAUGACCCUGACACCAGCAUCAUUUACUUAUGUGGAAAGACAAGAUUGCCGUCAUUGUUCAGGGUGACAGCAGUAUUCGCUAUUUUGAGAUCACGGAUGAAUCCCCGUACGUCCACUACCUCAACACGUUCAGCAGCAAGGAGCCUCAGAGAGGGAUGGGUUACAUGCCCAAGAGGGGACUUGAUGUUAACAAAUGUGAGAUUGCCAGAUUCUUCAAACUUCAUGAGAGAAAGUGUGAACCUAUUAUUAUGACUGUUCCCAGGAAG
Molecule: small RNA, 547 nt
Filed under: Pan troglodytes (chimpanzee)
Lineage: Eukaryota; Metazoa; Chordata; Mammalia; Primates; Hominidae
Description: processed transcript
Source: RNAcentral